Molecule: non-coding RNA, 98 nt
Organism: Mariannaea sp. PMI_226
Lineage: Eukaryota; Fungi; Ascomycota; Sordariomycetes; Hypocreales; Nectriaceae
Source: the annotation of a GenBank genome assembly
GGCCUGAUGGUCUAGCGGUAUGAUUGGCGUUUCGGGAUUCCUCCCUCUUCUCCUAGAGAAAAUAUGCCAGGUCCCGGGUUCAAUCCCCGGUCAGGCCC